UACAGAGGGGGCAAGCGUUGUUCGGAAUUACUGGGCGUAAAGGGCGCGUAGGCGGCCUGCUAAGUCGAACGUGAAAUCCCCGGGCUCAACCCGGGAACUGCGUCCGAUACUGGUUGGCUUGAAUCCGGGAGAGGGAUGCGGAAUUCCAGGUGUAGCGGUGUAAUGCGUAGAUAUCUGGAGGAACACCGGUGGCGAAGGCGGCAUCCUGGACCGGCAUUGACGCUGAGGCGCGAAAGCCAGGGGAGCAAACGGG
Molecule: ribosomal RNA, 253 nt
Filed under: uncultured bacterium
Lineage: Bacteria
Description: partial 16S ribosomal RNA
Rfam family: Bacterial small subunit ribosomal RNA
Source: RNAcentral